UACCUGAAUAGUUUAAUUAAAACAUUGAUUUGUGGUGUCAAGGAUGUAAUCCGUUACUUCGGGU
This 64-nucleotide transfer RNA is filed under the name Epeorus sp. JZ-2014. RNAcentral's name for it is "tRNA-His". The record is from RNAcentral. Lineage: Eukaryota; Metazoa; Arthropoda; Insecta; Ephemeroptera; Heptageniidae.